GGCUACACACGUGCUACAAUGGGUAGUACAGAGAGUCGCAAAGCCGCGAGGUGGAGCUAAUCUCAGAAAACUAUUCUUAGUUCGGAUUGUACUCUGCAACUCGAGUACAUGAAGUUGGAAUCGCUAGUAAUCGCGAAUCAGCAAUGUCGCGGUGAAUACGUUCUCGGGUCUUGUACGCACCGCCCGUCACACCACGAGAGUUGGUUGCACCUGAAGUAGCAGGCCUAACCGUAAGGAGGGAUGCUCCGAGGGUGUGAUUAGCGAUUGGGGUGAAGUCGUAACAAGGUAUCCGUACGGGAACGU
RNAcentral lists this ribosomal RNA (303 nucleotides) under uncultured Fusobacterium sp. Its description in RNAcentral is "bacterial SSU rRNA". It matches the Rfam family "Bacterial small subunit ribosomal RNA", at positions 1212 to 1513 of the family's 1533-position model. The record is from RNAcentral. Lineage: Bacteria; Fusobacteriati; Fusobacteriota; Fusobacteriia; Fusobacteriales; Fusobacteriaceae.